Molecule: RNA transcript, 1762 nt
Organism: Lycium barbarum (goji berry)
Lineage: Eukaryota; Viridiplantae; Streptophyta; Magnoliopsida; Solanales; Solanaceae
Exons: 11
Source: RefSeq, a predicted model, not a curated record
UGUGAGUUGUGACCAACCGAGUCAACUAGGAAGUCAAAAUGCGAGCACUUCACUACUCAUCAUUGAUAAAACCCCCACUCCAUCUCCAUACCGUAUUUUCACUAUCUCCACUCGGAACAACAUUUCUCCACUUCCACUCCUCCACUACUACCCCUUCACUCCCAAAACUAACCGCCGCCAUGUCCGCCGCCAUCGACGGCAGCUCCCCGCCGGAACACGUGGCCGGCGGUUGGUACUCCGUUCCCGAUCUCCGAUUACGUGAUCACCGAUUCAACGUCCCUCUCGAUUACUCUCUCAAUCACACUUCACCUAAAAUCACCGUGUUUGCCCGUGAAGUCGUUGCUGUUGGUAAGGAGGAACAACCUCUGCCAUAUCUACUAUAUCUGCAAGGUGGACCAGGCUUUGAAUGUCCAAGACCAACUGAAGCUGGAGGAUGGAUGAGCAGGGCAUGUGAAGAGUACCGUGUAGUUUUAAUGGAUCAGAGAGGAACAGGUUUAUCAACACCAUUAACACCAUCGUCUAUGUCACAAGUGAAAUCUGCUGCUGAUUUGACUAACUACUUGAGACAUUUCCGAGCUGAUAAUAUAGUACAUGAUGCUGAGUUCAUCCGAAAACGCCUUGUCCCUGAUGCUGGACCUUGGACAAUACUUGGACAGAGCUUCGGAGGAUUUUGUGCAGUUACCUACUUGAGUUUUGCUCCCAAAGGACUCAAACAAGCUCUUAUAACUGGCGGACUGCCUCCAAUUGGUAAAGGAUGCACGGCUGAUGCUGUUUAUAAGGCAGGCUUUGAAGCGCUUGUUCAUCAGAAUAAGAAAUAUUACAAGAGGUUUCCAGAGGAUAUUGAGAUUGCUCGUGAUGUAGUAAAUUACCUGGCAGAUUCUGAAGGAGGGGGGGUGCCUCUUCCAUCUGGCGGCAUCUUAACACCUCGAGGACUACAACUUCUUGGUCUCUCAGGUCUAGGAUCGAGUGCCGGUUUUGAACGGCUGCAUUACCUGUUUGAGAGAGCCUGGGAUCCUGUAAUAGCCCAAGGAGCAAAAAGGAGAAUCAGUGACUACUUCUUGAAUGCUUAUGAGAGAUGGAUAGCAUUUGAUACAAACCCUUUAUAUGCUCUUUUGCAUGAAAGCAUAUAUUGUCAGGGUGCCUCAUCCCUGUGGUCUGCUCAGAGAAUUAGGGCUGAAAAUGAGAACAAAUUCGAUGCAAUUGAGGCAGCAAAAGGCGGCCGCCCUGUACUUUUUACUGGAGAGAUGAUAUUCCCAUGGUUGUUUGAUGAAGUUCAUGUCUUGAAGCCAUUCAAAGAUGCUGCCCAGCUAUUAGCAGAGCAGAAGGAUUGGCCGGCAUUAUAUGACAUUGCUGCAUUAAAUGAUAACAAAGUACCAGUUGCAGCUGCUGUGUACUACGAAGACAUGUAUGUCAACUUCAAGCUAUCUAUGGAGACCGCUUCUCAGAUUGCAGGAAUCAGGCCUUGGAUUACUAAUGAGUACAUGCACUCUGGUCUGAGAGAUGCUGGAAGUCGAGUUUUAGAUCAUUUGCUUGCUAUGUUAAAUGGAAAGAAGCCCCUGUUUUAACUCUAGUGGCCACCACCAUCCACUCUUUCUCUUGAACGUCAACGGCUUUAGAUAAUGAUCAUGGAUUUAUUGUUGUUUAGAUGCAAGCUUUGGAUGUAUCAGGAAGGCAAGAACUACACAAUUUGCCUUAAACAAAAACAGUGAAACAGAAGUUGAAUUGUUGUUGGCUUUUAGAAUUUUACGAGGGGCUUGUAUCA